UCCGUAGGUGGAUAAUUAAGUCAGAGGUAAAAUCCUGCAGCUCAACUGUAGAAUUGCCUUUGAUACUGGUUAUCUUGAGUUAUUAUGAAGUAGUUAGAAUAUGUAGUGUAGCGGUGAAAUGCAUAGAUAUUACAUAGAAUACCAAUUGCGAAGGCAGAUUACUAAUAAUCAACUGACACUGAUGGACGAAAGCGUGGGGAGCGAACAGGAUUAGAUACCCUGGUAGUCC
RNAcentral lists this ribosomal RNA (229 nucleotides) under uncultured bacterium. RNAcentral's name for it is "partial 16S ribosomal RNA". It matches the Rfam family "Bacterial small subunit ribosomal RNA", at positions 568 to 796 of the family's 1533-position model. The record is from RNAcentral.